UGGGGAAUAUUGCACAAUGGGCGCAAGCCUGAUGCAGCCAUGCCGCGUGUAUGAAGAAGGCCUUCGGGUUGUAAAGUACUUUCAGCGGGGAGGAAGGGAGUAAAGUUAAUACCUUUGCUCAUUGACGUUACCCGCAGAAGAAGCACCGGCUAACUCCGUGCCAGCAGCCGCGGUAAUACGGAGGGUGCAAGCGUUAAUCGGAAUUACUGGGCGUAAAGCGCACGCAGGCGGUCUGUCAAGUCGGAUGUGAAAUCCCCGGGCUCAACCUGGGAAAUGCAUUCGAAACUGGCAGGCUAGAGUCUUGUAGGGGGGGGUAGAAUUCCAGGUGUAGCGAUGAAAUGCGUAGAGAUCUGGAAGAAUACCGGUGGCGAAGGCGGCCCCCUGGACAAAGACUGACGCUCAGGUGCGAAAGCGUGGGGAGCAAACAGG
This 429-nucleotide ribosomal RNA is filed under the name Chloroflexota bacterium. RNAcentral describes it as "Chloroflexi bacterium partial 16S ribosomal RNA". It matches the Rfam family "Bacterial small subunit ribosomal RNA", at positions 355 to 776 of the family's 1533-position model. The record is from RNAcentral. Lineage: Bacteria; Bacillati; Chloroflexota.